AACGAACGCUGGCGGCAUGCCUAACACAUGCAAGUCGAACGAGACCUUCGGGUCUAGUGGCGCACGGGUGCGUAACGCGUGGGAACCUGCCCUUAGGUUCGGAAUAACUCCCCGAAAGGGGUGCUAAUACCGGAUAAUGUCUUCGGACCAAAGAUUUAUCGCCUUUGGAUGGGCCCGCGUUGGAUUAGCUAGUUGGUAGGGUAAAAGCCUACCAAGGCGACGAUCCAUAGCUGGUCUGAGAGGAUGAUCAGCCACACUGGGACUGAGACACGGCCCAGACUCCUACGGGAGGCAGCAGUGGGGAAUAGUGGAAAAUGGGCGAAAGCCUGAUCCAGCAAUGCCGCGUGAGUGAUGAAGGCCUUAGGGUUGUAAAGCUCUUUUACCCGGGAUGAUAAUGACAGUACCGGGAGAAUAAGCUCCGGCUAACUCCGUG
Molecule: ribosomal RNA, 433 nt
Filed under: uncultured bacterium
Lineage: Bacteria
Description: partial 16S ribosomal RNA
Rfam family: Bacterial small subunit ribosomal RNA
Source: RNAcentral